This 465-nucleotide ribosomal RNA is filed under the name uncultured bacterium. Its description in RNAcentral is "partial 16S ribosomal RNA". It matches the Rfam family "Bacterial small subunit ribosomal RNA", at positions 338 to 795 of the family's 1533-position model. The record is from RNAcentral.
CCUACGGGCGGCAGCAGUAGGGAAUCUUCCACAAUGGGCGAAAGCCUGAUGGAGCAACGCCGCGUGGGUGAAGAAGGUCUUCGGAUCGUAAAACUCUGUUGUUAGAGAAGAAAGUGCGUGAGAGUAACUGUUCACGUUUCGACGGUAUCUAACCAGAAAGCCACGGCUAACUACGUGCCAGCAGCCGCGGUAAUACGUAGGUGGCAAGCGUUAUCCGGAUUUAUUGGGCGUAAAGGGAACGCAGGCGGUCUUUUAAGUCUGAUGUGAAAGCCUUCGGCUUAACCGGAGUAGUGCAUUGGAAACUGGGAGACUUGAGUGCAGAAGAGGAGAGUGGAACUCCAUGUGUAGCGGUGAAAUGCGUAGAUAUAUGGAAGAACACCAGUGGCGAAGGCGGCUCUCUGGUCUGUAACUGACGCUGAGGUUCGAAAGCGUGGGUAGCAAACAGGAUUAGAUACCCUUGUAGUC